UCACAGAGCAGUAUCUGAGAUCCAGGUAGAAAGACCAAAAGGAAAAUUAAGAACAGACUCUCAGACCUGCCUUCCCUUUGCAUUCAGAAGCAAGCAGCAUGCUGGAGACCCUCAAAUACAUGUGAAAUGAAGGGACACCUUGUGUUAUUUCACCUGUUUCCACCUGGUUCCCAAGUGGCAAGCUUGCAUUGAGGUUACAAAGUGGCAAAGCUGGGAUAUCACAUGAUGUCACCAUGAUGCUAUAUGAAAUGUAACAUUAAUUGAGUACCUAUGUGACCAGUUCUUUAAUUCUGUAAGUGAACUCUCAAAAAACCCUAGGUAAGUAUUAUCAACUCGAACUUUAACGGAUGAGGAAACUGGAAUUUUUUAAAAAAUGACUUAACCAAACAUCACAGAGCUGUAAACCAGGAUUUGAAUGGGUGAGCUGCACUCAGCCUUCAUCUCAAGUCAGUUUGCCUCUUUCUCCAAGAAGCCACAGUUGAUCCUGACCACAUCACAUAUGAGUUGCCUGGAUUGCAGUCAUUCAUUCACUAAGCAUCUUUUAGGAGGUCACAUGCCAGGCACCGUGUUAGGUAAUGAUUUCUCCAAGUCACAGGAGCCGUGGUUCUGACUUUAGAAAGUUUCUCAUCUGAUGGGAGGGCAGGCAAGUAAAUCAGUAAGGGUGGUCCCUGUCGGGACACUGGUUGAGAAAUACCCAGGAACACUCUGAUUGAGAAAUACCCAAAGUGCAAAGUGACAGGGACUAGAGGCAUCUCCACUGGACCAGAGAGCUCUGGAUUCGUCUUGAGCUAAGUCUCUGGAGAGCACUGCGUGUUUUGAAAUAUACAAAUAGUGGGAAACGAAAUCUUUGUUCUGGAUGCAGUUAUAAUUUGGAAAGCGAGGAAAUAAAUUAUAACAAGGGGAAAAAACAGAAUACUACUAAAGUCAUGCCGUGUGACUUCUGAAGCUAGCUCCUAAGAAGUCCUUGCAGCUUCUGCCUGCGACUCUUAGAACACUUGCUUUGAAGGAUGCCAGAUGCUGUCUUAAAAGUCUGAGCACUCUGAAACCAUCAUGCUGUGAGGAAGCCCAAGCUAACCACAUGGGCAAAAAAGAUGCCCUCUGACUGCCACCAUUUGAGACACUCUAAUUAAGAACUGCCUCAUUGAGCCCAUGAGGCCCUGUGAAUGAUAAUAAUAAAUUGUUUUUAACCA
Molecule: long non-coding RNA, 1190 nt
Filed under: Homo sapiens (human)
Lineage: Eukaryota; Metazoa; Chordata; Mammalia; Primates; Hominidae
Description: long intergenic non-protein coding RNA 964
Source: RNAcentral